RNAcentral lists this transfer-messenger RNA (344 nucleotides) under uncultured Eubacterium sp. It matches the Rfam family "transfer-messenger RNA". From Rfam's summary of the family: Bacterial tmRNA, also known as 10Sa RNA or SsrA, is named for its dual tRNA and mRNA-like properties. Its role is to liberate the mRNA from a stalled ribosome. To accomplish this part of the tmRNA is used as a reading frame that ends in a translation stop signal. Lineage: Bacteria; Bacillati; Bacillota; Clostridia; Eubacteriales; Eubacteriaceae. RNAcentral also lists the same sequence under 1 other name. The record is from RNAcentral.
GGGGGUGUACUGGUUUCGACGGGGUUUUAGAAGCUUUAGAAGCGAGCCGCAGGAGAUGCGUCAAAUCUCAAACCUAAAUAUAAACGCUAAAAACGAAAAAUUAGCAUUAGCUGCAGCUUAAUUGCAGCUUGCCUGCCUUAGAGCACCCGCACUUUAAGAAUCAGGUAUCGACCAUGUGGGAAACGACUUAUGCAAAGCUUUGCGCAUAAGGGCGUAUUAUGAAGCUACUGAAACCAAAAACCUGUUUCUGGGUGUUUGGCCAAGGGAAUGUUAAAACAGAAACUACGCUCGUAGAAGGACAGUAGAUAGAAUUUCGGACAGGGGUUCGAUUCCCCUCACCUCCA